This 253-nucleotide ribosomal RNA is filed under the name uncultured bacterium. RNAcentral describes it as "partial 16S ribosomal RNA". It matches the Rfam family "Bacterial small subunit ribosomal RNA", at positions 524 to 776 of the family's 1533-position model. The record is from RNAcentral.
UACGUAGGGUGCGAGCGUUGUCCGGAAUUAUUGGGCGUAAAGGGCUCGUAGGCGGUCUGUCACGUCGGGCGUGAAAACCCAGGGCUCAACCCUGGGCCUGCUUCCGAUACGGGCAGACUAGAGGUAUGCAGGGGAGAGUGGAAUUCCUGGUGUAGCGGUGAAAUGCGCAGAUAUCAGGAGGAACACCGGUGGCGAAGGCGGUUCUCUGGGCAUUACCUGACGCUGAGGAGCGAAAGUGUGGGGAGCGAACAGG